UCAAAAUACUUUCAAAUUAUUGAAAGUUUUCAUUCCAAAUCCUAGAUUUUUAGGAUUGUUACCCUUGAGAAACUGUUUCUCACACUAGAGCUCCCCCCAUAGUGCUCUAAAUAUAGCUUAGUAAAGGCACCUACUUUGCUCUAAGCAUACUUAAAGUUAAAACAAAAGUAUGUAUACGAAGAGUUUGAUAUUUUUAAUAGUUGGAGUCUGUUUUGCUAAUUUUAGUGUGCAAGUCAGCACAAGGGGCAUAGUGAGCCUGAUGGAAGCUUUCCUCAGGUGAGUGAGUUUCACAAUCAAAAUUAGGUGCCUGUUUCUUAAAAUUAGAUUCUGCUGCAGGUUUACAUACUAGACUUUUCAGCCUGCAUGAAUUAGUAGGGAUAUUCUUUUUUUACUUGCAUAAUUGUAAUUGAUUUAAACAUGUAUGCCAGAAUUCACAGGCCCAUACUAACUGUCCUUAAUUUCUUUCCUACAGCAGUACUGCUAUAUGCCAGUCCUGUCUGCAUUCUUAAGGGUGCAGUUCAACACAUCCUCUCUAGAUUAUGGUGAAAAAGUAUUCCAAAGGAAGUCUUAUCAGAGCUAGUGUCAGAAAGAAUGACACUACCAAUUGGGCAUGAUCUUCAGCAUAGGAAAUGUCUUAGAAUUUUAUUAUUUUUUCCUAAAUUGUGAUGCUAUACUACUUGUAUAGCUAGUUACCACAUUUCUAAAGCAUAGUGUGCCUCUGUGAAUCUUGUUAUAUACUGUUUGGGCUUCUGUAAGAUAUUUUGAAGUUUGAAAAGCAAAUACUGAAACUUUAACCAAGAGACUGACACAUCUCUUUGUACACCACGUUGCUUCUGUGUGCAUCAUAAUAACUGGUAGAAGUAAUAUAUUUAAAGUAAUAUGUUUCCAGUUUUAAUUUAUGCUUUCUAAGAAAUAAAAAUAUGUUUUCUGGGUCAACAAAACUUAAAGCAUGAAGCCCUUUUUAGUAACGUGACAUCAGAAUAAGAUUAUAGGUAUAUUUUUAAAAUCAGAUUUUCUAAACUACAAUUGUUUUAGAACACUGUAUGAAGAACUUAUCUAGUCAUAGUUAUUUGUAGUCAGGAUUUUAACAGCUUGCAACAGGUAAUGUUUUGAAUAUAAAUAUCUUUCCAAAGUGUUACUAAUGGUAAAGAGAUAAUUUUCUAGGCUUCUAUUCUGCUGCUUGAAGUCAGAACUGCUGAUGGAGACAAAGGCACGAAAGUGUACGUAUUCCGGAUUAGCAACCCAGGAACCCAUCACUUCUGAAGACUCUAAACUGUGCUGUCAUUUUGUUUUUAUAUGCAUUAAAAUAUUUGUUUUAAACUGCUGUAGAUGUUUGUGUUCAAACAGGUUAAAUUGAUCAGCAAACUCAAUAAAAAGUAAGAUGUAUAAUUAUUAAAGUUUUCCAUCAAAAAAUAAUUUAAAUGAUUAUGGAAUAACAUAAUAUUUAGAGCAGGGCAGAUAAAUCAGUUGAACCUGCUUAUUUUUUAUUUAUUGUACUCUUUUUCCUGUUGCUGUUCUUUUCUGCAGGAGGGAAAACCCCUGAUCCUAAAAUGAAUGCUAGGACUUACAUGGAUGUAAUGCGAGAACAACACUUGACUAAAGAAGAACGAGAAAUUAGGCAACAGCUAGCAGAAAAAGCUAAAGCUGGAGAACUAAAAGUCGUCAAUGGAGCAGCAGCGUCCCAGCCUCCAUCAAAACGAAAACGGCGUUGGGAUCAAACAGCUGAUCAGACUCCUGGUGCCACUCCCAAAAAACUAUCAAGUUGGGAUCAGGCAGAGACCCCUGGGCAUACUCCUUCCUUAAGAUGGGAUGAGACACCAGGUCGUGCAAAGGGAAGCGAGACUCCUGGAGCAACCCCAGGCUCAAAAAUAUGGGAUCCUACACCUAGCCACACACCAGCGGGAGCUGCUACUCCUGGACGAGGUGAUACACCAGGCCAUGCGACACCAGGCCAUGGAGGCGCAACUUCCAGUGCUCGUAAAAACAGAUGGGAUGAAACCCCC
Molecule: long non-coding RNA, 2003 nt
Filed under: Homo sapiens (human)
Lineage: Eukaryota; Metazoa; Chordata; Mammalia; Primates; Hominidae
Description: non-protein coding lnc-HSPD1-1:2
Source: RNAcentral